GAAAACACGAAACUGAGCUGUACAAAGAUGCUGAUGAGGGGCUGCAGCAUGCAAUUCACUUCACCAGCAGUCACUAAGGUCUGAUCUCUUUUCUAACCAUACCUGGAAGAUGGAAUGCUGGACCCAGGACUAGACUUGGACUAGAACUUUCACCAUUGGCUUACCUGGUUCUCAGACUUUUAGACUUGGACUGGGACUACACCAUCAACUUUCCUUGGUCUCCAGCUUGCAGACAACAGAUUAUGGGACUUGCCAGUCUCCAUAAUCAGGUGCAUGACUGUUGCUCUUUGACCUGUGUGGUGAGGGGUUACAUGUUAACCAGACUCCCUAGUCUCACUGCAAUUUCUGCCUCUCGGGUUCAAGUGAUUCUCCUGCCUCAGCCUCCUGAGUAGCUGGGAUUACAG
Molecule: long non-coding RNA, 404 nt
Filed under: Homo sapiens (human)
Lineage: Eukaryota; Metazoa; Chordata; Mammalia; Primates; Hominidae
Description: HSALNT0359169
Source: RNAcentral